This 985-nucleotide unclassified non-coding RNA is filed under the name Hevea brasiliensis (rubber tree). Lineage: Eukaryota; Viridiplantae; Streptophyta; Magnoliopsida; Malpighiales; Euphorbiaceae. The record is from RNAcentral.
GUAAGUUAAACAACCAUGACAAACAAACAAACUAUUCUUUUAUAUUUCUUAGGAACUUAAACAUUCCUUGCUAAGUUUUUUUUUUCGAAAGAUAUUGUAGAUUACAUUAUUAAAUUGGCCAGAGGCCCAAAUAUAGAAAUAAGCCCUUGGCCAUACAGGCAAUACAUCUAGCAACAAUACUCAAACUCUGCACAAAGAAGGCCUAAUAAGCCCAAAUCAAGAAAAAACCCUCACAGAGGAUGAAUCUAAACCCAACCCAAUGCUCAUGACUCGGAAGGAAUGCUCGCUGCGCCGUAGAGAAAUAUACCAGAGGAUGCUCGGCGAAUAACCAUGGCUACCUCAGCAUAAACAACAUAUUAAUAUCGGUUGGAGGUGAAGCAAAAUGAUUGAAGCACCAUUAGAGGGUUGAAGAAACGGCUGGAAAAGUCUUAAAAGAAGACCCUUUAGAUAAUAGCGACCCCAUAAGCAGCAGGAAGAGACGCUGGAAGCCCAUACAGACCAAAGACUCCUCACCAUGGAUCUGUCAUCGGUGCUACCGGUGGAGAAAAAAACAGAGCUCUCAUGCUGGUCAGCGAUCACCCAUAGGCGUUGGUAAGGACCCCGAGAUGUCUGCUUCUCCUGUCUCUUACAAAAUCAAAACCAUACCUUUAAGCAGAACACUACCCAUUACUGUGAACUACUGAACAAUGGCUGCAUAAGAUUCCCUGCAAGCAACAAUCACAGGAAAAAACAGCAGAAAAUGAAUGUAUCGAAGUUAUCGCAGCCACUAUAGCAACUCCCCCUUCCUUUUCCGCAGACUGCACUCCAACGACUAAAAAAACUAUCUACAAUUCGACCCAGAGUGGAGAGGGAACCCACAAGGUAGGUGGGAGGGGGGACGGCCCUCCCCCACCCGAAGGGGCAAAGGAAGGCUGCCUGGUGCGGCAGAAAUCAAGCUCUUGAAACCCUAGAGAAACACAAAAAAAAAAAAUGAAAGAAAAAGCAG